GGGGCUAUAGCUCAGUGGUAGAGCGUCUCGUUUGCAUAUUUAAAAGGUGUGAAAUUUCGAGAAGGUCUGGGGUUCAAUCCCCCAUGGCUCCA
Non-coding RNA from Melanopsichium pennsylvanicum, 92 nucleotides. The record is from the annotation of a GenBank genome assembly. NCBI's taxonomy places the organism in Eukaryota, Fungi, Basidiomycota, Ustilaginomycetes, Ustilaginales.